Molecule: ribosomal RNA, 484 nt
Filed under: uncultured bacterium
Lineage: Bacteria
Description: partial 16S ribosomal RNA
Rfam family: Bacterial small subunit ribosomal RNA
Source: RNAcentral
AUUGAACGCUGGCGGCAUGCUUUACACAUGCAAGUCGAACGGCAGCGCGGGUUUCGGCCUGGCGGCGAGUGGCGAACGGGUGAGUAAUGCAUCGGAACGUGCCCAGUAGUGGGGGAUAGCCCGGCGAAAGCCGGAUUAAUACCGCAUACGACCUGAGGGUGAAAGCGGGGGACCGAAAGGCCUCGCGCUAUUGGAGCGGCCGAUGUCGGAUUAGCUAGUUGGUGGGGUAAAGGCUUACCAAGGCGACGAUCCGUAGCUGGUCUGAGAGGACGACCAGCCACACUGGGACUGAGACACGGCCCAGACUCCUACGGGAGGCAGCAGUGGGGAAUUUUGGACAAUGGGGGCAACCCUGAUCCAGCCAUGCCGCGUGCGGGAAGAAGGCCUUCGGGUUGUAAACCGCUUUUGUUCGGGAAGAAAUCCUCUGGGCUAAUACCCCGGGGGGAUGACGGUACCGGAAGAAUAAGCACCAGCUAACUACGUG